GUGGGGAAUAUUGGACAAUGGGGGGAACCCUGAUCCAGCCAUGCCGCGUGUGUGAAGAAGGCCUUUUGGUUGUAAAGCACUUUAAGCGAGGAGGAGGCUACCGAGAUUAAUACUCUUGGAUAGUGGACGUUACUCGCAGAAUAAGCACCGGCUAACUCUGUGCCAGCAGCCGCGGUAAUACAGAGGGUGCAAGCGUUAAUCGGAUUUACUGGGCGUAAAGCGCGCGUAGGUGGCCAAUUAAGUCAAAUGUGAAAUCCCCGAGCUUAACUUGGGAAUUGCAUUCGAUACUGGUUGGCUAGAGUAUGGGAGAGGAUGGUAGAAUUCCAGGUGUAGCGGUGAAAUGCGUAGAGAUCUGGAGGAAUACCGAUGGCGAAGGCAGCCAUCUGGCCUAAUACUGACACAGAGGUGCGAAAGCAUGGGGAGCAAACAGGAUUAGAUACCCGAGUAGUCC
Molecule: ribosomal RNA, 451 nt
Filed under: uncultured bacterium
Lineage: Bacteria
Description: partial 16S ribosomal RNA
Rfam family: Bacterial small subunit ribosomal RNA
Source: RNAcentral